This 674-nucleotide ribosomal RNA is filed under the name uncultured bacterium. Its description in RNAcentral is "bacterial SSU rRNA". It matches the Rfam family "Bacterial small subunit ribosomal RNA", at positions 184 to 858 of the family's 1533-position model. The record is from RNAcentral.
GGGGCAUCCCUCGGCGGUUAAAGAUUCAUCGGCUGCGGAUGGCCAUGCGGCGCAUUAGCUAGUCGGCGGGGUAACGGCCCACCGAGGCGACGAUGCGUAGGGGUUCUGAGAGGAAGGUCCCCCACACUGGUACUGAGACGCGGACCAGACUCCUACGGGAGGCAGCAGUGAGGAAUAUUGGUCAAUGGCCGGGAGGCUGAACCAGCCAAGUCGCGUGAGGGAAGACGGCCCUACGGGUUGUAAACCUCUUUUGUCAGGGAGCAAGAGGCGGGUCGAGACCUGCUGUGAGAGUACCUGAAGAAAAAGCAUCGGCUAACUCCGUGCCAGCAGCCGCGGUAAUACGGAGGAUGCGAGCGUUAUCCGGAUUUAUUGGGUUUAAAGGGUGCGCAGGCGGAGGCACAAGUCAGCGGUAAAAUCGCGGGGCUCAACCCCGCUCCGCCGUUGAAACUGUGUCCCUUGAGUGCGCGAAGGGUAGGCGGAAUGCGUGGUGUAGCGGUGAAAUGCAUAGAUAUCACGCAGAACUCCGAUCGCGAAGGCAGCCUACCGGCGCGCAACUGACGCUCAUGCACGAAAGCGUGGGUAUCGAACAGGAUUAGAUACCCUGGUAGUCCACGCAGUAAACGAUGAAUGCUAUCUGUCCGGCCGGAAUGACGGCUGGGUGGCACAGCGAAAGC